RNAcentral lists this ribosomal RNA (253 nucleotides) under uncultured bacterium. RNAcentral's name for it is "partial 16S ribosomal RNA". It matches the Rfam family "Bacterial small subunit ribosomal RNA", at positions 524 to 776 of the family's 1533-position model. The record is from RNAcentral.
UACGAAGGGGGCUAGCGUUGUUCGGAAUUACUGGGCGUAAAGCGCACGUAGGCGGCGCAGCAAGUUGGGGGUGAAAUCCCGAGGCUCAACCUCGGAAUUGCCUUCAAAACUGCUGUGCUCGAGUUCGGAAGAGGUGAGUGGAUUUCCCAGUGUAGAGGUGAAAUUCGUAGAGAUUGGGAAGAACACCAGUGGCGAAGGCGGCUCACUGGUCCGCAACUGACGCUGAGGUGCGAAAGCGUGGGGAGCAAACAGG